This 3934-nucleotide long non-coding RNA is filed under the name Sus scrofa (pig). Its description in RNAcentral is "lncRNA (ENSSSCG00005033097.1)". Lineage: Eukaryota; Metazoa; Chordata; Mammalia; Artiodactyla; Suidae. The record is from RNAcentral.
GACUUUUGUAGAUCCUACUUGAUUUUUGUAAAUCGGAAACCAGUAGAAUGACAUUAAUGCUUUGGGGAAAGAAAUAUGAGUUGUCAACUGUGACAAAAAGAAUAAGAACCCAGAGGAUGCAGCUUUAACAAUUCACAGCUGCUCUCCUGUGAGAGAGGAAGAUAAUGCUGUCAGCGAAUGUGCAUCUCUGAGAAAAAAGAAGAAAUAAUUCAGGGGAGAAUAAGGAGAGCAAAUAGCAAAAAAGAAAAUGAAUAAGAAUCCUAUUGCUUUUGGUUCAUAAAUUACAUUCAGGAAAAAGAACUUUUCCUCCAAUUUUGAAACAGGUGAAUUUGAAAAAAAGAAAGAACAUUUAUAUCCGCAUAAGGACAAUGCAUGGAAAAUCACGCUUGUCCCAGGAUUAGUCCAACAUUUUCUUUCAGGAAAUUUCAACAUUUUUAACCCAAUCGGUGACUUUAGUUUCUUGAAGUCAGGCUUAGGAAACACAACUCAGUACACCUGAGAGAAAACACACAUCUAAACAAAAAGGCGGUUAUUAUAAUGUCAACAGGGACAUGAACAAAAAGAGCAACAUCCUCCCAGGGGACAGCAUAAAUAUCAAAAGUGCUAAUAAGUAGAGGUGGUCUCCUUGUGGCAGAAAGUGUAGUAUGUGUAUAAUUUCUAGAUCAAAACAAAAUCAUGGCACUUAAACAGUGGCAGCACUGUUAGGUGCAUGUGAUAUUUGAAAAAUAUGACAACCAUCUCAAUCUGCUCAAGUAGCACUCAUGGUAAGGGUGAAAUUUUAUCAACAUGGGUUAACUUAUGGUGUAUUAAGAAAGUAGCAAGGAGAUAAAUUGAUGGAUUAAAAGAUAAACUACUCACAGGCAGACAAACAGAAGGACAGAUAGAGUUACAAUCAAACGUGCACUUUACUCAGACAGAAAGAUAAUAACUAGCCCCAAGAACUGACAUGUCUGCGAGGAAAACCUUGAACAUAGAAUUUUUUGACUUUGUCUUUAAUUUAGUUCUUCCGGCACCAUGCUGCAUAACCCUGGAUAACUUCUAAAAGUCUCUAUGACACAGUUAUCCAUCUGUUAAAUGAAGCCAGUAAUAUUUUCAUGUAGUUUUUUGAGGGUAAAAGAUAUACGAAAUAUUUGGAAGAGUCUAGAAGAAAUGCCCUCUGUUCAUUGGAGCCAUUUGACAUCACAUCAUUCUCUUCAGACAGAGAGACAGUGAAUGUGUGAAAUUAUGAAGCAUCCAAAUGCAUUCCCAAGGGAACUUAGGGGGCUCUUUGCUGAAAAGGAUAACUGGCUAUCUUUUGGGGAGUAAUUUAAACAUAGACUGAGGGAGGAGGGAAUCCUAUAGAUUCUGUCUAGUUCUUACUUUCUACAGCUCCUCAUUUCUCUUCCCACUUUAGGGAAAAAAAAAAAAAAAAAAAAAACGCACAAUGAGACCCACAGGAUAGAGACGGGAAAUAAGACUGUGCCCUCAGACUUUUCUUUCAACAGUACCAUGGCAUUUACAAAAGAGAGUCUGGAUUCCUCAGACAGCACAAGGUGAGAUCCUCCUUGAAGUGAACUCACAUACCAUUUUUCCUUAUAUGAACCCAUUCUCCAUGUUUUCUUAUUCUACACACAUCACAAAGGAAUAAGAGAAUUUUUGCCAGGAAACAGAAAACUGGAUUGAUUCUUCCAUUUUCACUUCUCUUGUGCUUCAUAACAUUGAGAAUCUAUACAUACAGUUACAUUUAUCUAUCUCUUCCAGGAAAGGCUAAAAUGGAGCCAAUUUUGGCUCAUUUUUGGCAAAGGGACAAACUUGAAUUGGGAAUAAUCUUUGGGAUCAGGAACAGGCCUGCUGUGAUGAAAUGGACCUUGUGGAGGCUCCCUGGCAUUCUGGCCUGGCUAACAUUCUACUAACAACAACUAGUCUAUGAUCCAGCGUUGCUCCCACAGACACAGUGUCCUUGGGAUCGUUAUCUCUCCCUUUCAUUUGCUUCCUGACAUCCCUCCAUGCAAGCUCUUCUCUAGCACAAGUCACCUCACUUAAAAUUUCAAAGGACUUUACCGCAGUAAUGGAGUAAGGGUGCUAAGUAGACAGAGAUAGGUAAGGAUAGGUAAAAUCUCAUUUGUCCUUUCAGCCUGGCACAGUUUAGCACAAUAAUCAGAUUCCUAACAGGUUUUUCUAGGUUUCACUCCCCACUCAAAUUGUAUGUUCCUGCGACGUAGAAGUUCUUAUUACUCAGUCCUGACUUGCUUCUCUCUUUGGUUCUACGGUAAAACUAUUCAAAUCUCAAUUUAGGUGUUUUAUCCUCUCCUGGAAUUUCUGGGAAAGAAUUCUUUUAAACUAGAUUCCUAACUUAUUAGGCUCAGGCCAACCUGACCACCUAAGCAUUAAUUUUCCUACUAUUCACAAACAUCCCUGAAUUUAUCUUUCUCUUUCCUGGAAUGACAGGACAAGACAGACAGGAAAAAAAGGAAUGCCCAGAACAAAUACUGGAGUUUGGUUUUCCUACUGUCUUUUAUUCAAUUCAUUCUCUUUUCUCUAACAUUUAAGACAUUUCUGACUGUCUCCAUCCUCCAGGUAAUAUAUUUCUUAUCUCUGCAGUUUCCUUUUGUUUUUUGAAAGGUUCCACAUGAAAGUUCUUAUUUCUUUCCCUUAGAGGAUUCUGACCCUCCAGUUACAGUCACCACCAGUUCAGUGUACUAAGUCUAAAGGAGGUGAAAACUCAGUACUUCGUAUAUUAAACUAAAGAUUUCCGUUAUUUGAAAACCAAGGUUUUGCUGGCAGAAAUGUCUAUUUUAAAACCCACACAGUGGAGUUCCCGCUGUGGCACAGUGGGUUGGGAGUCUGACUGCAGCAGAUCAGGUCGCUGCACAGGCCAGGGUUCCAUCCCUGGCCUGACACAGUGGGUUAAAAGAUCCAGCUUGCCACAGCUGCAGCUUGGAAUUAAUCCCUGAGCCAGGAACUUCCAUGAGCCAAGGGUGUGUGGCCAUAAAAAUAAUAUCAGCAUAAUAACUGAACUUACCCACAGUGAAUGUAGAUUCAAACAAUGAUGUAAGGUCUGAUAAGAAUUAACAAAUUCUAAUAGAUAGUCUAAAAAGACCAUACAAAAACAAUGUUUUACCCCUGGGCCUGCAGAAACAGUCAGCUCAAGGGGUUCACCCCAUUCGUCAUGUCCCUAUGGCUUUAUUUUCUCAAGUUGCCAUCAGAAACUUUCAGGGAACUCAGAUUGGUCCAUGUACAUAAAAUAUAUAAGGCAGUUGGUAUCUUAUUUAUUCCCACUAUUACAAAUGAAAUUAAACCACUGAACAUUGUAGCCUUUGGGGGCGGGGUCUCCUUUUCAGUGAUAAGCCCAAGAAAUUUCUCCAUUUUAAUACAAAUAACCAUGUUGACCUAUUUUUCCUAAUUCUGCAUAUACUGAAACUAGGUGGUUACAAACAAAACCCAGAAACAUAAUUUGCAUUCUAAUGAAAUGAUCCUGAAAUUAUUCUUUUUUACUGUGGCUUUACCUGCUGCUCUACAGCACACAUUCCUGUGGGUCUCCUGCAGGAGAUGAUUCAGUGUGGAUGAUAAUCAGUGUUGAUUGAGGAAUCCUGAAAUUGGGGAGUCUGAUUCCUAAUGAAGUCUGUAUACCCAUCUACUGCAUAAGCGCCUCUUUAUUUACAGUUUGGUAAAAAAAUUAUAGGUAGAGAUGUUGCAGGCACAUGUGCACAAAUGUUCAAACUGCUUUGAAAAAGGAAUGAGAGAGAGAGAGAGAGAGAGAGAGGGUAUCCAAGUUCAAGUCAGGCAGGCAUUUCAGAUUUCAAGAGACAACUGAAAAGGGAACAUCUGUUAGAUCCUCUGGGUUUGAAGGCAAUCUAAGUCUUGGUAUUUCUGAGUGUGUGCACAUAGUGGAGAGGGUGGAGCCUUCCAACCUCAAAUCUAAAAAGAUUGAGAGAUUUGGGAAGGCCCAGAUGUG